Molecule: ribosomal RNA, 253 nt
Filed under: uncultured bacterium
Lineage: Bacteria
Description: partial 16S ribosomal RNA
Rfam family: Bacterial small subunit ribosomal RNA
Source: RNAcentral
UACAGAGGUGGCAAGCGUUGUUCGGAAUUACUGGGCGUAAAGGGCGCGUAGGCGGCCAUUUAAGUCAGACGUGAAAUCCCCCGGCUUAACCGGGGCAUUGCGUCUGAUACUGGGUGGCUCGAGUGCGGGAGAGGAAUGCGGAAUUCCAGGUGUAGCGGGGAAAUGCGUAGAUAUCUGGAGGAACACCGGUGGCGAAGGCGGCAUUCUGGACCGACACUGACGCUGGGGCGCGAAAGCCAGGGGAGCAAACGGG